UUUGUACUCCUUCCGUCCAAAAAAUACUUAUCACAGAAAUGGAUACAUCCAGAUGUAUUUUAGUUUUAGAUACAUUCAUUUUUAUAAAUUUAUGUGAUAAGUAAUUCCGGACGGAGGGAGUACCUU
This 126-nucleotide microRNA precursor is filed under the name Hordeum vulgare. RNAcentral describes it as "microRNA MIR1122". It matches the Rfam family "MIR1120/MIR1122 microRNA precursor family". Lineage: Eukaryota; Viridiplantae; Streptophyta; Magnoliopsida; Poales; Poaceae. The record is from RNAcentral.